GGUGGCUCAGUGGUAGAGUACUUGCCUUGCAUGCAUGAAGCCCUGGGUUUGAUUCCUCAGCACCA
Non-coding RNA from Dipodomys ordii (Ord's kangaroo rat), 65 nucleotides. Lineage: Eukaryota; Metazoa; Chordata; Mammalia; Rodentia; Heteromyidae. The record is from Rfam.